AGGUAAUUCGCCCAUGUGGGUCAGCACACAGAACAGUCCCUAAAGGAAGUAUCAGGGAGACAAUAGAAUAGGAUCAGCUGCCACAACAAAGCUGUGGUUCACAACAUUCCGUGGAAAAAUGUACUAACCCUGGAAAGUUAUAGCGACGACCCUCCAUCUUUACAAUCUGAAGAAGCGCCUGAUUCAGCAGGUGCCCCCCACACCCACCCCUGAAGGUCCUCGCGGUUACCCGGCUCCUCGGAAGGUUUCAGAGUGUCCCGAGGAGGGUUUGCCUUGUGAUGUGGCCCGACCGCCGACCUGCCUGCACUCGCAC
Gasterosteus aculeatus aculeatus (three-spined stickleback) is the source of this 313-nucleotide long non-coding RNA. NCBI's taxonomy places the organism in Eukaryota, Metazoa, Chordata, Actinopteri, Perciformes, Gasterosteidae. The record is from Ensembl.